GGGUCCGUCGGCAUCGUGCCGCCGGAGGACAACUUCGGAUGGUCGGGCCGCCAUCC
RNAcentral lists this non-coding RNA (56 nucleotides) under Acidobacteriota bacterium. RNAcentral's name for it is "Acidobacteria bacterium Li+-I sequence". It matches the Rfam family "nhaA-I RNA". Rfam says of the family: Acidobacteria, Alphaproteobacteria, Betaproteobacteria and Gammaproteobacteria, Verrucomicrobia, cand. division NC10. Downstream gene The record is from RNAcentral. Lineage: Bacteria; Pseudomonadati; Acidobacteriota.